Cinara cedri is the source of this 336-nucleotide non-coding RNA. Lineage: Eukaryota; Metazoa; Arthropoda; Insecta; Hemiptera; Aphididae. The record is from the annotation of a GenBank genome assembly.
AAAGUCACGUGGCGCGUUCGGGAACGGCCGAAAUCUCCCGUAACAGGAAUCGACCGUUUAACGUUAAGGGAACGUGAUAUUAUUGAAUGUUAAUAUAACGUUAUUGAUAUGUUUGUACAAAUACACCACGUUUUAGAACGUCAAAAACUGUAAAACCAAUAUUCCUAUUACGUGUUCAUCGAGCAUGUUUAAUUGAAAACAUUCAAUUAACAUAUAAAUGACACUAACAUCACUCUAAUCUUCUGCUAGCCCCGCCUGCACUAUUCGGUAUCGCGAUACUCUUGACCACACAGAUGCUGUGCCCGACGCCAGUCCAUUAUAAUAUUCAAGUCCUCG